CAAACAAGUGGCCAAGUGAGCUUUAAUGAGCAUUUAGCUUAGGGAGCAAGAUUAGUGAUGAAAAACAAAACAACUAUCUCUCUCUUCCCUAUCCUCAUUUUCGCCCCCACUCUUAUCUCUCUCCCUCUCACUCUUUUCUCUCACUACCACCAUUGAAGGUCAUUUCCAAGCUUCACAAAUCACUUCUAUACUUAGAUCUCCAUCAAAAAUCGAGCCUAAACUAUUACUACUUUGAAUUAAGAACAAGAUUGAAGGGAUUUCAAGUUUUGAGCCAAGAAAGUCUCUACUUUUCUUUGAAGUCAUUGAGUAAGUGAGCCCAUGGAUACUCUCCGAUGUUAUAAUAUCAGAAGAUACGAGCAGAGGACAGAAGUGAGUUUGCCUCGAGUGCUACGAGAGUAAGCUAACAUCUUCAGCUUUAAAGGAAAUCCAAUUACGACCCUAUGAUAGACGAAGGUAUGCUAGUACGGGUUAACGUGUACACUCAUGGAGACCGCGAGUCGCUUGCAACUGGCCUUGGCAUCCGUGGGAGGAGGCCUCCUUCCCGGCGCGUGACAGAAAGGACAGAUAUGGAACAUAUGAAAGGAAAACGUGAUUGGCCAGUCGACUUUAUGAAAAUGAAAGAAAUGUUUUAGUAAGCACAGGUCUUUCAAGAAAACCCUUGUGUGUUAUUGUUUGGCAGUACAAUGUAUAUAUGUAUAUGUUAUUGAUUUAUGCCUAAUUGUUCUAAUUUUAGGGGU
This is a long non-coding RNA of Salvia miltiorrhiza (redroot sage), 737 nucleotides long. RefSeq lists it as uncharacterized. The record is from RefSeq and is a predicted model, not a curated record. The transcript is spliced from 3 exons. Lineage: Eukaryota; Viridiplantae; Streptophyta; Magnoliopsida; Lamiales; Lamiaceae.